RNAcentral lists this ribosomal RNA (253 nucleotides) under uncultured bacterium. RNAcentral describes it as "partial 16S ribosomal RNA". It matches the Rfam family "Bacterial small subunit ribosomal RNA", at positions 524 to 776 of the family's 1533-position model. The record is from RNAcentral.
UACGGAGGGUGCAAGCGUUGUCCGGAUUUAUUGGGUUUAAAGGGUGCGCAGGCGGAUUUAUAAGUCAGUGGUGAAAGCCUUCGGCUCAACCGGAGAAUUGCCAUUGAUACUGUAGAUCUUGAGUAUGUUCGAGGUUCUUGGAAUGUGUAGUGUAGCGGUGAAAUGCAUAGAUAUUACACAGAACGCCGAUUGCGAAGGCAGAGGACUAGGACAUAACUGACGCUGAGGCACGAAAGCGUGGGGAGCGAACAGG